RNAcentral lists this ribosomal RNA (392 nucleotides) under uncultured bacterium. Its description in RNAcentral is "partial 16S ribosomal RNA". It matches the Rfam family "Bacterial small subunit ribosomal RNA", at positions 523 to 918 of the family's 1533-position model. The record is from RNAcentral.
AUACGGAGGAUCCGAGCGUUAUCCGGAUUUAUUGGGUUUAAAGGGUGCGCAGGCGGCCAUUUAAGUCAGCGGUUAAAUCGUGGGGCUCAACCCCAUUCUGCCGUUGAUACUGGGUGGCUUGAUUGCGGUCGAGGUUGGCGGAAUUCGUUGUGUAGCGGUGAAAUGCAUAGAUAUGACGAAGAACACCGAUUGCGUAGGCAGCUGACCAGACCGCAAAUGACGCUCGUGCACGAAAGUGCGGGGAUCGAACAGGAUUAGAUACCCUGGUAGUCCGCACAGUAAACGAUGAAUACUUGUUUUCGGCGAUAUAAUGUCGGAGGCAAAGCGAAAGCGAUAAGUAUUCCACCUGGGGAGUACGCCGGCAACGGUGAAACUCAAAGGAAUUGGCGGGG